CAGCGAUUUUCAAACUUUAUUUGCUGUUUUUCAUAUCACUUCAUAUCAUUAUUUUUUAACAAUUUCUUCCUUAGUACUUCAACUGUCCUUUCGUUCUUAUAUGUCGGCCGGAUGGCCGAGUGUAAGGCUACGGCUUGCCACCCUGGAGGAUCCGGGUUCCAACCGGAUCUCGCGCCUCCAGUUUUGCAGGAGGGGUCCGGGCCCUGCCCGUUGAAACCCAUCCUUCACCAUCCGGUUGACCCCUCCUGCAGGAGUGGACUCCCGGUGGGAAGGCUUGUUUCGCCCCAUCAGAGAAACGACCUACAUGUGCUUGGCGUAAUAUAUCCUUACGCGGACCCAAUGCCAUAAACCCUCACCUAACUAACUCGUUCUUUUAUUUUUCUCUUUUAUGGAUGCUGUGUUCUUUGGACAUGGCAUCCAUGAACAAAAUGAAAGAGAAAGAGUUAAAGGCCAUUUAGAUUUUCUCCAUGUGUUCACUUUUUGAAUAAUAAAAAU
RNAcentral lists this long non-coding RNA (495 nucleotides) under Androctonus crassicauda. Lineage: Eukaryota; Metazoa; Arthropoda; Arachnida; Scorpiones; Buthidae. The record is from RNAcentral.